AGCAGCCGCGGUAAUUCCAGCUCCAAUAGCGUAUAUUAAAGUUGUUGCAGUUAAAAAGCUCGUAGUUGAAUUUCGGGGUUAGUAGGUUGGUCGUGCCACUGGUAUGUACUGGUUCUACUGAUCCCUCCUUCUUGUAGAACCGUAAUGCCAUUCACUUGGUGUUGCGGGGAAACAGGACUGUUACUUUGAAAAAAUUAGAGUGUUUAAAGCAGGCUAACGCUUGAAUACAUUAGCAUGGAAUAAUGAAAUAGGACGUUCGAUCCUAUUUUGUUGGUUUCUAGGAUUGACGUAAUGAUUAAUAGGGAUAGUUGGGGGCAUUAGUAUUCAAUUGUCAGAGGUGAAAUUCUUGGAUUUAUUGAAGACUGACUACUGCGAAAGCAUUUGCCAAGGAUGUUUUCAUUAAUCAAGAACGAAAGUUAGGGGAUCGAAGACGAUCAGAUACCGUCGUAGUCUUAACCAUAAACUAUGACCGACUAGGGAUCGGGAUGAUUGUUAAUUUUUAAUGACUCAUUCGGCGCCU
RNAcentral lists this ribosomal RNA (520 nucleotides) under uncultured Glomeromycotina. Its description in RNAcentral is "SSU rRNA". It matches the Rfam family "Eukaryotic small subunit ribosomal RNA", at positions 569 to 1088 of the family's 1831-position model. Lineage: Eukaryota; Fungi; Glomeromycota. The record is from RNAcentral.